This 1377-nucleotide ribosomal RNA is filed under the name Pacifastacus leniusculus (signal crayfish). Its description in RNAcentral is "16S ribosomal RNA". The stretch from base 644 to 1377 matches the Rfam family "Archaeal large subunit ribosomal RNA", at positions 1423 to 2898 of the family's 2987-position model. The record is from RNAcentral. Lineage: Eukaryota; Metazoa; Arthropoda; Malacostraca; Decapoda; Astacidae.
CCGAGAAGGUUAUCGUGAAAUUCGAUUUAUUUUGAUAAAAAUUUAUUGUUUUUAUAAUAUAAUAGGAAAAAUAUUUUUAUUAUUAAAGUAAGGUUAAUUGAAUAAAGAAAUAUAAAGACUUAGUAAAAUUUACUGUAAAGGAGAUUUGAAAUAAUUUGAAAAUUAAAUAAUUGAAAAGUAAUAAUAAAAUUAUGUACCUUGUGUAUAAUAGGCUUUUAAAUUUAUAUAUUUAUAAUAUAAAUCUCGGAAGAGGAAUAGCUAGGAUAAAAAUGAAGUUUUUGUAGAAGAAAGUUUUUUAAUUUUAUUUCUAAGAGUGAAAUAUUAAUUGAGUUCUCUAAUAUCUAGUUUUUUGAAAAAUAAAUUUAAAUUAGCUUUUUUAUAAAUCAAAUGAAAAAAGUAAGAGUAGAAGGGAUAAGCUUUUUAUUAUAAAAUUUUAUAGGGGUUAGGAUAAGAGAGUUAAACUAAGCUUAAAAGUAGCUAUGUUAAUAAAGUGUUAUAAUUAAUAUUAAAUAAGUAUAAUAAUUUAUAUUUCCCUUAAAUUUAUAUCAAAAAUUAAUUUAAAAUUUAAUUUAAUUAGGUAUAAUAAAUGUAUUAGUAUAUCGGUAAAGUAAUAAUUAAAAAAUGAAAUAAGUAAAAAAUUUUACUUUUACUUUUAAUUAUUUUAAGGAACUCGGCAAAGAAAUAUUUCUGCCUGUUUAACAAAAACAUGUCUAUAUGAAAGAUUUAUAAAGUCUGACCUGCCCAUUGGGUUCUAAAAGGCCGCGGUAUUAUGACCGUGCAAAGGUAGCAUAAUCAUUAGUCUUUUAAUUGAAGGCUAGAAUGAAUGGUUGGACAAGAAAUAAUCUGUCUUAAAUUAAAAUAUUGAAUUUAACUUUUAAGUGAAAAGGCUUAAAUUAUCUAGAGUGACGAUAAGACCCUAUAAAACUUUAUAUUUUAAGAUAAUAGUUAGUUUUAUUUAAGAGUUUUAUUUUGAAAUAUUUUAUUGGGGUGAUAAAGAUAUAAAUUAAAAUAACUGUCUUUUUUUUUUACAAUAAUCUUUGAAUUAAUGAUCCUAAGAAAGGAGUAAAAGAUCAAGUUACUUUAGGGAUAACAGCGUAAUUUUUUUUAAGAGUUCAUAUCGACAAAAAAGUUUGCGACCUCGAUGUUGAAUUAAAAGAUCUUUAUAGAGCAGAAACUAUAAAAGAAGGUCUGUUCGACCUUUAAAAUUUUACAUGAUUUGAGUUCAGACCGGCGAGAGCCAGGUUGGUUUCUAUCUUCUAGUAAAAGUAUAAUUAUUUUAGUACGAAAGGAUUAAAUAAUUAAAAAAUUUUUUAGUUUUAUUAUUUUGGCAGAGAAUAUGCGUUAGAUUUAGGAUCUAAUAAUAUAGGAAUACUAUAA